Molecule: long non-coding RNA, 1293 nt
Filed under: Callithrix jacchus (white-tufted-ear marmoset)
Lineage: Eukaryota; Metazoa; Chordata; Mammalia; Primates; Cebidae
Description: lncRNA (ENSCJAG00000086906.1)
Source: RNAcentral
AUGCUGUCUCCUCCCCGACUCCUAACACUAGCUUGGGCUCCUAGGAAAUACUCCUGCUCCCUGUCUUCUCCAGGCUGUAGAGGAUCUGCUGCUGAACCUCUCUGGUCCCAUAAAAUCAUCCUAAUGCCUCUUAAUCCUGCAGAGGUCACAGGAACACUACUCAACACACAGCUUCUAACUCAUUAUCUGAAACUGUUUCAAGAGCCUCCACCAUCCCAUUCUCCUUCCAAUCACCAGGAAGAAGGAAAAGGGGGAAAGGGAGAAUAUUCUUCCCAAGAGUCCAGUGUGCAGACUAGCUCCUCACUUCCCCCUCCUUCCAUAGAUAGAAUGAGUUAAAACAUGCUCAUUACUGUAUUCCCUUCCGUCUGAGCAUCAUUUAAAAUUUUAAAGCAACUUCUUACAUUCUGUUAUUUCUCUAACCUUCCCAUAGCUGCCAGGUUGACUAGAAAAUGUCGUAAGCUGGAAAGCCGUGGGUCCAGCUACAAAGUGCACUGUUCCAUGACAGGACAGUUUGGAUACUGGGACCACUCGUGGCAGUCACACCACCUCAGCUCAUCUAUCAGGAGGGGUAGAAAACAGGAACUGGUUAAGAUUUCAAAACAUCCUGCCAUGCUCGUCAUCCCAAGUUGUGAUUAUUUGCUUACAAGCUCUUCUCUAUCAUUUAUCUCAGUGUUCUUAAAGCCAUUCACCCAGAAUUUAUUUUCCUGCUUGUGACCCCCCCUGGCCUGAGCCUCACAGAGUUCCUGGCUUAUGGAAGAUGCUCAAUAAAUGUUUCUUUUCAGCAUCCUACAUCAUGCACUGACUUGGCACAUUUUUGAGUGCCUAAUAUUCAUUAAGCUAAAAAUCUUCCCAUUCUCUGUCAUCUCAAAGGCACUUCCCUUGGCCAACACUCUCAAACCUCUGUGAAGUCCACUUUAUGAAGUUUGAAGAGUUUCCAUGGAAGAAAACAUACUCUCAAGUACAGAAAUAAAGAUGAGAGCUGUAGCUGUAUUUUUUUGGUCUAGGCAUCAGUUAGGAUGACAUUUUUCUGAAGACUAAGCUCUGAUUUUUUAAAAUCUUGCCCAAAUUCCUGUCUAAAGGGUCUAGGGAAUCAUGCCCUACAAGGCUAAAUUCUCAUCAGAUGCGUUUUAUUUAACCCUAUAUAUCAUGGCUUACUUUCCAAUCUGACCAUGGCAUAACAUUAUGAGACAAGGAGGAAAAUCAAAAUGUUUCACCCCAAAAUAUAUUUCCUUGCCAUAUUUGAAAUUGCCCUGCAAAGUCUCUUGUGGGAAAAAUCCACAUUGUAUAGAGAAU